UUUUGUGGAGGGUUCGAUUCUGGCUCAGGAUGAACGCUGGCGGCGUGCUUAACACAUGCAAGUCGAACGGGAUCCAAGCAGCUUGCUGUUUGGUGAGAGUGGCGAACGGGUGAGUAAUGCGUGACCGACCUGCCCCAUACACCGGAAUAGCUCCUGGAAACGGGUGGUAAUGCCGGAUGCUCCAACAUGAUGCAUGUCGUGUUGGGAAAGAUUCAUCGGUAUGGGAUGGGGUCGCGUCCUAUCAGGUAGUCGGCGGGGUAACGGCCCACCGAGCCUACGACGGGUAGCCGGCCUGAGAGGGCGACCGGCCACAUUGGGACUGAGAUACGGCCCAGACUCCUACGGGAGGCAGCAGUGGGGAAUAUUGCACAAUGGGCGCAAGCCUGAUGCAGCGACGCCGCGUGCGGGAUGACGGCCUUCGGGUUGUAAACCGCUUUUGACUGGGAGCAAGCCCUUCGGGGUGAGUGUACCUUUCGAAUAAGCACCGGCUAACUACGUGCCAGCAGCCGCGGUAAUACGUAGGGUGCAAGCGUUAUCCGGAAUUAUUGGGCGUAAAGGGCUCGUAGGCGGUUCGUCGCGUCCGGUGUGAAAGUCCAUCGCUUAACGGUGGAUCCGCGCCGGGUACGGGCGGGCUUGAGUGCGGUAGGGGAGACUGGAAUUCCCGGUGUAACGGUGGAAUGUGUAGAUAUCGG
RNAcentral lists this ribosomal RNA (692 nucleotides) under Bifidobacterium ruminantium. Its description in RNAcentral is "bacterial SSU rRNA". It matches the Rfam family "Bacterial small subunit ribosomal RNA", at positions 1 to 700 of the family's 1533-position model. Lineage: Bacteria; Bacillati; Actinomycetota; Actinomycetes; Bifidobacteriales; Bifidobacteriaceae. The record is from RNAcentral.